AUCAAAUCACUAAUUAAACCUCUCAUAAAUACUGAGUCCAAAUCCAAUAGGCAAUCGGGCAUCAGAAUUCAUCGAUAUGUAACCCUGAUCGAAAAGUCCCAACCAGUGGGACUCUUGACCUCGGUACCCAAAAUGUGUGGAAUUUGUGAUCAGAGAAUCCUGAUUCUCGAUCACAGAAUCCCAGACACGUAGGACUCUUCACCAGCUAUCAGAUCAGAUAGGAACCUCUAAUGUGUGUGACCCCGAAGGUUCGAACCUAAGUCGGUAGCACAGGAACCAAUUCCUGUACUAAUCAAAGUGACCAUCUAGCAUUGGUACCCGAUGUCCGGAU
This 331-nucleotide long non-coding RNA is filed under the name Elaeis guineensis (African oil palm). RNAcentral describes it as "long non-coding RNA (EGUI_LNC061868)". The record is from RNAcentral. Lineage: Eukaryota; Viridiplantae; Streptophyta; Magnoliopsida; Arecales; Arecaceae.